GUUUCAGCAUUUAGAUUAAAGGAGGAGAAUAAGGCAAGCAGUUGCUUGACCAAGACAAGGUGGAUGCCAUCAUUGAAUAUGCUAUGGGAAGAUUGCUAGGAGUGACCUCCGCAGAAAUAAGAGGAAGAUGGGCCAAAAACUGAAGGACACCAGGGUAGCACGCAGGAGAAAGCCUGUCAAAUGGUCAUACAGCAUCCAAGGGCAACUUCUUGAGACUGGAAACUGCUAAAUAUCUUGAUGUUCACCUCAAGAGCAACCUGAAUUGGACAGAUCACAUAAAGACAACAACAAAUAAAGCCAGCUCUGUCGGUGCAUUUUUGCAGUGGAACAUUAGGCCUUGCCUAAGAAAAACAAAAACGUUGUGCUUCUUUGCUCUUGUUCGCCUAAUCCUGGAGUAUGCGUGCACAGUGUGGGAUCCUCAGCAGCAUCGCACCAAUGCUGCAACAUCUCAAAUGGCCAUCUCUCCGAGAACGCAGGGCAUGGUUUAAGAUGGUGAUGGUGUACGGGACUGUCAACCUGCACUCAGAGUUUCUCAAAAUCUACCUUCUAUCGGUGUUAACAUCCAACCAUGGUCAUACGCAGCAAUUCCAAAUACAAUUUACAAGGACUUCCUGAUUUCAUCAUGCUUUGGAACUUGCUACCUGCUGGAUUUGUCAACUGUACCUCCGCUAAAGCUUUUAAGCAAGAUGUACAAAAUGUCCAUCUCCAUUAGAAGGGGAAGAAGAAUUUUUAACUGCACAUAGAAUAUUAUAGAAAGUUUUAAAUUUGCACUGUAUAUUCGCGACACAAGACCUGACGUACGUGAUACACCAUACGGUGGACUGAAGUGAUAUCUCAAGAUCUGGGGGAUGACAAUUCGGGCUUUAACAAAUUGCAUGAUAGUGGAGGUACUAUUUUUGACUACACAGUCGGAAGUUCCAUCUAGUUAUAAUAUCCUAACAUCAGUAUAGUAUCGCUAGAACAAAA
Molecule: long non-coding RNA, 966 nt
Organism: Strongylocentrotus purpuratus (purple sea urchin)
Lineage: Eukaryota; Metazoa; Echinodermata; Echinoidea; Camarodonta; Strongylocentrotidae
Exons: 2
Source: RefSeq, a predicted model, not a curated record